Molecule: long non-coding RNA, 1780 nt
Organism: Magnolia sinica
Lineage: Eukaryota; Viridiplantae; Streptophyta; Magnoliopsida; Magnoliales; Magnoliaceae
Exons: 4
Source: RefSeq, a predicted model, not a curated record
AGAAACUUCUCAGAUGAGUGCAGAAUGCCAUUUGAUUGUUUGCGACUCUAAAGGCCUGUUUGGGGGAGAGAAUGCCUAUUACAGAAGAAUUACUGCAGGUACAACCGAAGGUUAAGAGGAUCCAGUAGUUUGUAAUUUUCAGCACUCGAGAGGACUCUAACUGAAUCCUUUACACUUAACAUAUGUAACAACAAUUGCCUUCAGAAUAGUGAAACAGGACUGUGCUCAUGUUUUAUAUUUGUUUGUUUACUCAGUAUCUUAGCACAUCAGACUUUGCAAUGUGUGAGGAAUUGGCAUUAAAAGCCGCCAUUCUAGCCAAGAAAUUUGCUCCAGAUCUUUCGUGGAAAAAUCUCCCUUAUAAGGCAGCCCACUCAGUUAGGAAAUAGACAUGGAUACUCUCAUUUCUUAUUUCCAUCUUUCUGAUAACAGCGAAAGUGAGGAAGACAUUUUAUACAAAUGUUCCUGAUGAAUACAUGCAGGCUGUUGAAGAUCUGGUUGUCCCGAGGACUGAAUUUGGUAAUGCAUCAUAGAAAGAGCAUUACCAUGUGAAGGAAUCGGCUACAAUGGAUUUCCAACAGGUUGUGCAGAUGACGAACUUCCAUGGGCAAAGGUGCAUUGCAAAACAAGAAAAGCAGCACCCCCGGCUUCUCUCAGACUCCUCCAAGGAGAAGGAUGCUUAUUGUAGAUGAUGAGCCCGAAAAGGAACCACAACCAAAAUGCUGCUCAUAACAUUAGGAGCACAGGAUAUUGAAAGAUAGUUCAUUUUUAUUUUUAUUUUUAUUAUUUAUUUAUGAGAACUGCUCCUUAUAUGUUCCCAGAGCGUUAGAAGUUAUAGUGCUCCUAGUUGAAUCAGGUAACUUGGACAGUCCAAUAGAGCGAUCUAAAUUGUCCAUUAAAGUAAGAACACAUUUCAAGGGCUACCAUGCAAAAAUAGGACUGAUUGGAUGAUCAAAUCUAUCCUAGAUUCGUCCUUGUUGUUGUAGUCAUCCUUUUCCAACCCAUGGAUGGGAUGGUUAGGAUUGCUUAGAAGAACUCAUUCGUUAGAAUCGCAUGCAAUCCAUAAUGGUGGAUGAGUUGCCACAAUUUGGUACUUCGCGGCAACUGCGCAUAUAAUCUUUAAGCCCAAUGCACGAAAAGCCCGCACAAGUGGACAAGGCAAGCUAUGGCCAGGUGGGUGGCUGAUGGUGAAAUAUCUGAGGUGUCCAUCAGCUAGGUCAGACCUUGUAUCGGUUCUCACCCAAUGGCAACUCGUAUGAACUCAUUCCAUCCCUAGUUGAGUCAUGAGACUUACAUGAGACUUGGACAAGUCGCCAAACCUUGGGAAUUGGGUAUUGUUAGUUUUGCUUCUGACUGUGCAUUGAUUCCAUACAUUGUGUGGCCAACCUAACAGUCGUUCUGAAUUUUUUGAGCCUUCUCAUGCACACAUGGGACCCACCUGAUGCAUGGCUCAUAUGUCCAACACAUGCCAGGUUGGCAUGUGCGGCUAUAGUUGCAUGUGGCCUUUGUGGAACUCACUCUAACCUCGUCUUGAUCAUCAUUAACGUCACUAUUGAUAUCAUCACAACCAUCAACAGAUACUGAUUCUGUAUUUGUAGCAGGUUGAAACUUAGGGCUCACUAAUUAACAGAAAAGGCAUCACAAUCUCGGCCACAAUCGGCGUCGCCCAUUCAGAAAGCAUGGUGAGCUAAUCUUUUCUUCCGUUGAAUGGUUUAUACGCUUCAUCUUGAACGGUCUGCAUGCCAUCGACCUGAUUUUAAAUGGCUCGGAUCGUAUGAUAAAA